AUAUAUGUGAGGCAAACACGUAGUUCAAACCGCGUCAGGUCCGGAAGGAAGCAGCGCUAGAGCAAAGGGUUGUGCCUUUUCUAACCUACAUCAU
This 94-nucleotide signal recognition particle RNA is filed under the name Paenibacillus cremeus. RNAcentral describes it as "Bacterial small signal recognition particle RNA". The stretch from base 4 to 86 matches the Rfam family "Bacterial small signal recognition particle RNA". Rfam says of the family: The signal recognition particle (SRP) is a universally conserved ribonucleoprotein involved in the co-translational targeting of proteins to membranes. Archaeal SRP consists of a 7S RNA and homologues of the eukaryotic SRP19 and SRP54 proteins. The record is from Rfam by way of RNAcentral. Lineage: Bacteria; Bacillati; Bacillota; Bacilli; Caryophanales; Paenibacillaceae.